UACGUAGGGACCGAGCGUUGUCCGGAUUCAUUGGGCGUAAAGAGCUCGUAGGCGGCCACUCAAGUCGAAUGUGAAACCUCGAGGCUUAACCUCGAGCCUGCAUUCGAUACUGGGCGGCUAGAGUCUGGUAGGGGGAUCUGGAAUUCCUGGUGUAGCGGUGGAAUGCGCAGAUAUCAGGAGGAACACCAAUAGCGAAGGCAGCUCGCUGGGACGGUACUGACGCUAAGGCGCGAAAGCGUGGGGAGCGAACAGG
RNAcentral lists this ribosomal RNA (253 nucleotides) under uncultured bacterium. RNAcentral describes it as "partial 16S ribosomal RNA". It matches the Rfam family "Bacterial small subunit ribosomal RNA", at positions 524 to 776 of the family's 1533-position model. The record is from RNAcentral.